Molecule: ribosomal RNA, 254 nt
Filed under: uncultured bacterium
Lineage: Bacteria
Description: partial 16S ribosomal RNA
Rfam family: Bacterial small subunit ribosomal RNA
Source: RNAcentral
UACGGGGGGCGCAAGCGUUGUUCGGAUUUACUGGGCGUAAAGGGCGCGUAGGCGGCCUGUGCAAGUCAGUUGUGAAAUCUCCGAGCUUAACUCGGAACGGUCAACUGGUACUGCUCGGCUAGAGUGCGGAAGGGGCAACUGGAAUUCUUGGUGUAGCGGUGAAAUGCGUAGAUAUCAAGAGGAACACCUGCGGCGAAGGCGGGUUGCUGGGCCGACACUGACGCUGAGGCGCGAAAGCUAGGGGAGCGAACGGG